GCGUAAUAGCUCACUGGUCGAGUCGGCCUGCGCGGAAGAUGUAACGGGGCUAAACCAUGCACCGAAGCUGCGGCAGCGACACUAUGUGUUGUUGGGUAGGGGAGCGUUCUGUAAGCCUGUGAAGGUGUGCUGUGAGGCAUGCUGGAGGUAUCAGAAGUGCGAAUGCUGACAUAAGUAACGAUAAAGCGGGUGAAAAGCCCGCUCGCCGGAAGACCAAGGGUUCCUGUCCAACGUUAAUCGGGGCAGGGUGAGUCGACUCCUAAGGCGAGGCCGAAAGGCGUAGUCGAUGGGAAACAGGUUAAUAUUCCUGUACUUGGUGUUACUGCGAAGGGGGGACGGAGAAGGCUAUGUUGGCCGGGCGACGGUUGUCCCGGUUUAAGCGUGUAGGCUGGUUUUCCAGGCAAAUCCGGAAAACCAAGGCUGAGGCGUGAUGACGAGGCACUACGGUGCUGAAGUGACAAAUGCCCUGCUUCCAGGAAAAGCCUCUAAGCAUCAGGUAACAUCAAAUCGUACCCCAAACCGACACAGGUGGUCAGGUAGAGAAUACCAAGGCGCUUGAGAGAACUCGGGUGAAGGAACUAGG
RNAcentral lists this ribosomal RNA (583 nucleotides) under Escherichia coli. RNAcentral's name for it is "partial 23S ribosomal RNA". It matches the Rfam family "Bacterial large subunit ribosomal RNA", at positions 1132 to 1717 of the family's 2925-position model. Lineage: Bacteria; Pseudomonadati; Pseudomonadota; Gammaproteobacteria; Enterobacterales; Enterobacteriaceae. The record is from RNAcentral.